RNAcentral lists this ribosomal RNA (1944 nucleotides) under Triticum aestivum (bread wheat). Its description in RNAcentral is "partial small subunit ribosomal RNA". Lineage: Eukaryota; Viridiplantae; Streptophyta; Magnoliopsida; Poales; Poaceae. The record is from RNAcentral.
CGCCACCUCUCGAUCUGGAUAACCAUCCAUGACAGGUGGUCCCUUAUUUACAUGUGGGACCCGCAUUCUGGCGGACAGGUCGUACUUCCGUGCUCGCGGUGACGCCGCGUCGCCGCCGGCGAUCAGAUCCAGUGCUUCUCGUAGGUAGCGGCGUCGGCGGUGGUCAUGUGGUCGACCGCGGCGUGGUGGUGGGCCCACCACCACAUACGCCUCCUUCUCCCGGCCCUCUUCCUCGCCGCCGCCCUCUUCUUCUUCCUCGCCUCCCCGCGCUCCUCCCCAUCCUUCUUCGCCCUACCGGCCUCCAGGGAGCAUUCGCCGUCGGGGUCGCGGCUCAUAUGGGCGCAGCGGCGUUUGGCGGAGUGGCGGCCGUGCGAGUGGUGGCAGACGGCAAUGCCCGCAGCUCCGUCGACGAGGAAUGGCUACAUCAGGAUAGAUUGCUACGGCGGCCUCAACCAGCUGCGGCGCGAUCUGUGCGAUGGAAUUGCGGUUGCACGUCUUCUGAACGCGACAAUGGUUCUGCCCAAGUUUGAGGUUGCUGCAUACUGGAAUGAGUCUAGUGGUUUUGCAGACGUGUUUGAUGUUGAUCACUUCAUUGAGCAAACUAGAGGUUAUGUGGAAGUGGUGAAGGAUAUGCCCGAGGAGAUAUCGUUGAAAGAGCCAUUUAAGGUCGAUUGCCGAAAACGGAAAGGACAUUUUGAUUAUGUAGAAACAGUUCUUCCAGCUCUUUUAGAACAUCGAUACAUUUCUCUGACACCUGCCAUGAGCCAAAGAAAAGAUAGAUAUCCAGCACAUGCGAAAGCUUGUUACUGCCAAGGUUGCUACAAUGCACUCCAGUUGAACAAGAAGGUGGAAGCCAAAGCUAUGGAGCUUCUCCAAGCGAUACCAAAACCUUUCUUAUCACUUCACCUUAGAUUUGAACCAGAUAUGGUUGCCUACAGUCGAUGUGAAUACAGUGCCCUUUCUUCCAAAUCACUGGAUGUGAUUGAAGCUGCACGUGGGGAGGACAGGAAUGUAUUGAUUGGUGAUGCUGCUCGUCUGUGGAGGAACCGUGGAAAGUGCCCUCUAACACCAAGUGAGACAGCAUUUAUCCUCCAAGCACUAGGUAUUCCUACGGAGACAAACAUUUAUUUAGCUGCUGGGGAUGGGUUAAUGGAACUCGAGGGCUUCACUUCGAUCUACAAAAAUAUGUAUACUAAAUCGUCUCUCCUGACUCAUGAAGAUUUUGAGAGGAUGCAUGGCAACACAAAAGCUGCUCUCGACUACUAUGUUUCAGUCAACAGCGAUGCUUAUGUUACCACAUUCUUUGGAAAUAUGGAUAAGAUGGUAACUGCAAUGAGAACAAUGCAAGGGCUGCAGAAGACAUUGGUCUUGAGUAGGAGGGCCUUCGCAAACUACACGGCUGCUGGACUGGCAGGGGACCAACUAGCUAAGGCCAUGUGGGAUGCUCACCGAGAGGAUUAUAUCAUGGGGAGGGGAUUAGCUCUCCCUGAACAUUGCUUUUGUGAGUUCAAGUUGUAGUACAAAUGAGCCCAUAUAACACAAGGGCUAGUCUACACGGCCACCUUCCAAUUGGUAGCACUAAUAGAUCGCAUUGUGGCUGAGUUGCUACUGCAGUGGGCGUUAUGCCCAAUCUUCAGAAGAAACUGUUCUUCAUCAGAGUCGCGAGCUGCACAGCGUCUUGAUUCAGGGAGCAAUUAUCACUCAUACAGCAAUGCAUCAUGGCCUCUCCUCCUGUAUACUGUUUCCGGUGAGUUCAGAUAGUAGCUCAGACAUGUACACGCAGGCUUACUACCUAGAGAAUCAUUCUGAUGUUUCCUUUUACAACUGGAUAUAUUGCCAGGCCCCAACUGUCAGGUGGCGUAAUGGCUUGUGAUUAAUCUCACCCACCACUGGGAAAUACACCAUAGUUACAUAGUUUGUUGUUGAAUUGGGCUCCAUAACCGG